Molecule: transfer RNA, 72 nt
Filed under: Marmota monax (woodchuck)
Lineage: Eukaryota; Metazoa; Chordata; Mammalia; Rodentia; Sciuridae
Description: tRNA.Ala
Source: RNAcentral
GUGGGGCUAGGCUCAGUGGUGGAGCACUUGCCUAGCACACUAGAGGCACUGGGUUUGAGCCUCAGCACCACA